Ostrinia furnacalis (Asian corn borer) is the source of this 382-nucleotide long non-coding RNA. RefSeq lists it as uncharacterized. NCBI's taxonomy places the organism in Eukaryota, Metazoa, Arthropoda, Insecta, Lepidoptera, Crambidae. The transcript has 3 exons. The record is from RefSeq and is a predicted model, not a curated record.
AACUAAUUUGUUAUACUUUCAUUCCAGGCCCGUUUCUUGCUGUCCAAGGUGAACCCGUCGCAGACUCACAACAACAUGUACGCCUAUGGAGGGGCGAUGCCGAUCCCAUCAGCGGACGGUGGCGCCCCAGUGCUGACGGAUGACGUUUCGCUGCAAGUGUUCAUGGAACAUCUGAAGAAGUUGGCGGUAUCUUCCACCGCGUAAACGACUUUCGCCCUUCAGUACUUGUGUUUAGUUCGACUUUUGUUUAAAAUUUUAUUCUAUACAUGUACGAUACUUACUCGUCUACAAAACGAUUAUUUUAUAUUAUCUGUUUGAAAUGGAUUCAAAAUUGACCAUGCCAGUCGAAUCAACAUUUAUCCGAGUUGAUAAAAAUAAUUUU